This 65-nucleotide transfer RNA is filed under the name Clostridiaceae bacterium. Its description in RNAcentral is "tRNA-Asn". The stretch from base 5 to 59 matches the Rfam family "tRNA", at positions 8 to 63 of the family's 71-position model. From Rfam's summary of the family: Transfer RNA (tRNA) molecules are approximately 80 nucleotides in length. Their secondary structure includes four short double-helical elements and three loops (D, anti-codon, and T loops). RNAcentral also lists the same sequence under 1 other name. The record is from RNAcentral. Lineage: Bacteria; Bacillati; Bacillota; Clostridia; Eubacteriales; Clostridiaceae.
ACCGUAUCAAUGGUAGAGCACGCGGCUGUUAACCGCGCUGUCGUAGGUUCAAGUCCUACUCGGGG